CCCGCCGCCCUGGGCUGGAUAUCAUCAUAUACUGUAAGUUCACUAUGAGACACUACAGUAUAGAUGAUGUACUCCCCUGGGCUGC
This is a microRNA precursor of Coturnix japonica (Japanese quail), 85 nucleotides long. Ensembl annotates it as microRNA 144. Its record names the gene MIR144. Lineage: Eukaryota; Metazoa; Chordata; Aves; Galliformes; Phasianidae. The record is from Ensembl.